GUGGGGAAUAUUGGACAAUGGGCGCAAGCCUGAUCCAGCCAUACCGCGUGGGUGAAGAAGGCCUUCGGGUUGUAAAGCCCUUUUGUUGGGAAAGAAAUCCUGUCGGGUAAUACCUGGCGGGGAUGACGGUACCCAAAGAAUAAGCACCGGCUAACUUCGUGCCAGCAGCCGCGGUAAUACGAAGGGUGCAAGCGUUACUCGGAAUUACUGGGCGUAAAGCGUGCGUAGGUGGUGGUUUAAGUCCGUUGUGAAAGCCCUGGGCUCAACCUGGGAAUUGCAGUGGAUACUGGAUCACUAGAGUGUGGUAGAGGGAUGCGGAAUUUCUGGUGUAGCAGUGAAAUGCGUAGAGAUCAGAAGGAACAUCCGUGGCGAAGGCGGCAUCCUGGGCCAACACUGACACUGAGGCACGAAAGCGUGGGGAGCAAACAGGAUUAGAUACCCGAGUAGUCC
RNAcentral lists this ribosomal RNA (450 nucleotides) under uncultured bacterium. Its description in RNAcentral is "partial 16S ribosomal RNA". It matches the Rfam family "Bacterial small subunit ribosomal RNA", at positions 354 to 796 of the family's 1533-position model. The record is from RNAcentral.